UGUACUUUGUUAAAUUUAUAUCUGUUUCAUUUUUUAGGAGCUAUUGUAAAUUAUAUUUUUUAAAAUCUCUUUUUCCUAUUGUUACAUUUCUAGGGUAUAGAAAUACAAUCCUGAAAUCUUCCUAAAUAUGUUUAUUAGUUCUAGGAGUUCUUUUGUAUAUUCCCUGAGAUUUCCUUUGUAGAUAAUUAUGCUGUCUGCAGAUAGAGAAAGUUUUAUUUCUUCCUUUCUAAUCUGCAUGUCUUUUAUUUCUUGUUUUGUCCCAUGAUUCUGACUGGAGUUUCUAGUACAACGUUGAAGAGAAAUGGUGAGAGUGGAUAUUCUUCUCUGUUCCCAAUCAUGGAAAGAAGGGGUGGAAAACAUUGCCUUGUGCAUGCUAGGCAAAUCCAAGGACAAACAGAAGAAGCUGAGGAAGUGUCCUCUAAAUUUCCUUUCCCCAAAGACAAACUAUCUAAUUCACUGGACUAGACGGUUGUGGAAUUCAUCACUAGUAUCUUCACUGCCCAUCUCCAUUGCACAGACUCACCAAUGAUUUGAAUUCUCUCUUGGAUUACUCAUCAUUGGCUUUUAAACACAAGAGGAAGCUAUUGGUAGUGAAGGUCAUCUUUGAAAUGAAAAGGCAAGACCUCAUGAGAUCAUGAAGUAAAUAUUACUAAAAGCCUCUGGGAACCUACAGAUAAAAUGGGAUCUGUUCUUCUGGAGUUGAUUUCAAAACUACGUAGACAAGAUCAUAACCUACCAGUACAGAUAGUUUUUCUUCUUCCUUUAAAAUCUGGAUUCAUUUUUUUCUCUUUUUUUCUUGUCUAAUUGCCCUAGCUGGAAUCACCAACACAAUGUUGACUAGAAGUGACAACACCAGACCAUUUUUUUCUUGUUCCAGAUCUUAUAGGGGAAGCAUUUAGUCUUUAAGUAUGCUGUUUUUAUCAUGGCAGUAUACUGAAUUUUGUCAAAGCUUUUAUGGGACCACUGAGAAGAUCAUGCUUUUUUGUCCAUUAUUUAGUUAAUGUAUUAUAUUACAUGUAUUGAUUUUUGUAUAUUUAAUCAACAUUGCAUUCCUAAAUUAAAUCUCAAAUGAUCAUUA
Molecule: long non-coding RNA, 1078 nt
Organism: Marmota monax (woodchuck)
Lineage: Eukaryota; Metazoa; Chordata; Mammalia; Rodentia; Sciuridae
Exons: 4
Source: RefSeq, a predicted model, not a curated record